GUCCAUUCUUCUGAAAGCUAUGUUCAGGAUAUCUGCAUUGCUCAUUAACAUGUCAGCGUUUUAGACCAGACGAAACAUUGACACAUUCAUGAGCAUUGUGGAUGAUCUUGAAAGUAGCUUUGAGAAUGGUC
RNAcentral lists this microRNA precursor (131 nucleotides) under Picea abies (Norway spruce). Its description in RNAcentral is "miR11509 stem-loop (pab-MIR11509)". Lineage: Eukaryota; Viridiplantae; Streptophyta; Pinopsida; Pinales; Pinaceae. The record is from miRBase by way of RNAcentral.